RNAcentral lists this ribosomal RNA (206 nucleotides) under uncultured bacterium. RNAcentral's name for it is "partial 16S ribosomal RNA". It matches the Rfam family "Bacterial small subunit ribosomal RNA", at positions 568 to 774 of the family's 1533-position model. The record is from RNAcentral.
CGUGUAGGCGGCCAUGUAGGUCCGUUGUGAAAACUCGAGGCUCAACCUCGAGACGCCGAUGGAAACCAUGUGGCUAGAGUCCGGAAGAGGAGAGUGGAAUUCCUGGUGUAGCGGUGAAAUGCGCAGAUAUCAGGAAAAACACCCGUGGCUAAGGCGGCUCUCUAGUACGGUACUGACGCUGAGACGCGAAAGCGUGGGAGCGAACA